Non-coding RNA from Bactrocera oleae (olive fruit fly), 454 nucleotides. NCBI's taxonomy places the organism in Eukaryota, Metazoa, Arthropoda, Insecta, Diptera, Tephritidae. The record is from RefSeq and is a predicted model, not a curated record.
UAUCGGUUCAGUUUGGCAAUACUUGUGUUGCAGUUAUCGUCAUUCUAGCAGCUGUGCGCUUAUUGACAUGCAUGGCAUAUUUAUUUUCGACGUAGUAAAAAGUGAAAGUCGCCACUCCCGCCCCUUUCUUGGGCAGAGGGUGGUGACCAUAUGUUAGUCAAGCGCAUGUGACUGUGCGACAGACAGAUCAAUAAGUAAUUAAGAUGUAAAAAAUGCAAUUAAAAAGCGAGAAAUUCGAAAUAAAAUUUGCAAAUCCGCGCUUCGAUGAGAAGAUUACUGUUGAAUAAGACAAGCCUAGUAUCGAGGCGAGAACUGGGUCACCAGUGUGAAAAUGCACGAGUAUUGCGUUAUGGUAGAUUUCCAAAAUUUACGGUUAGGUGAGGCAAUCAAAUUGAUAUACGUGGAGCUACGAAUAAUCCAAUUUGGAUAGCUAUAAACGCCUCUCCGUUGUCAC